CCUACGGGUGGCUGCAGUGAGGAAUAUUGGUCAAUGGCCGUAAGGCUGAACCAGCCAAGUAGCGUGAGGGAAGACUGCCCUAUGGGUUGUAAACCUCUUUUAUGCGGGGAUAAAGGUGUCCACGUGUGGAUGUUUGCAGGUACCGCAUGAAUAAGGACCGGCUAAUUCCGUGCCAGCAGCCGCGGUAAUACGGAAGGUCCGGGCGUUAUCCGGAUUUAUUGGGUUUAAAGGGAGCGUAGGCCGGUCUUUAAGCGUGCCGUGAAAUUUUGUGGCUCAACCAUGAGAGUGCGGCGCGAACUGGAGACUUGGAGUGCGCGGAAGGCAGGCGGAAUGGGUGGUGGAGGGGGGAAUGGCGAAGAUAGAACGAAGAACC
RNAcentral lists this ribosomal RNA (373 nucleotides) under uncultured bacterium. Its description in RNAcentral is "partial 16S ribosomal RNA". It matches the Rfam family "Bacterial small subunit ribosomal RNA", at positions 338 to 708 of the family's 1533-position model. The record is from RNAcentral.